This 85-nucleotide transfer RNA is filed under the name Felis catus (domestic cat). It matches the Rfam family "tRNA". Rfam says of the family: Transfer RNA (tRNA) molecules are approximately 80 nucleotides in length. Lineage: Eukaryota; Metazoa; Chordata; Mammalia; Carnivora; Felidae. The record is from Rfam by way of RNAcentral.
GCCUGGGUGGCUCAGUCGGUUAAGCGUCCGACUUCAGCUCGGGUCAUGAUCUCACGGUCCGUGAGUUCGAGCCUCGCGUCGGGCU